RNAcentral lists this non-coding RNA (26 nucleotides) under Homo sapiens (human). The record is from RNAcentral. Lineage: Eukaryota; Metazoa; Chordata; Mammalia; Primates; Hominidae.
UGCUUAGUUUCAAGGAGAUGGUGGAA